CCAAAAUGGAAAGUAGGGAAACCAGCUCAGCCACUCGUGAGGAUGAAAUCAUCCCCGAAAAGGGCAGCAAGGUUUUUUCAGUAAUAUGGAAGUGGUUCGGGUUGAAGAGGUCUGUUGUUCAGCAAACGAAUGUCCUGUGCAAAAUGUGUCGAAAGACAGUUGCUACGAAAAGCAGCAGUACAACCAACCCCUUCCAUCACCUGCAACUGAAACACGCGGUGGAAUGGGAGGAAUUCGUGAAACUACGCAAUGCCGAUUCCAGUCGCCCAAUUUCCAAAAUGUCAGCUAAAAGACAAACUACCAUAGUCGCUUCCUUUUCAAAUGUAAUCCCUUAUGACAAAAGUUUGAGGUGGAAGGAGAUAACGGAUGCAGUGACCUAUUACAUAGCGAAAGAUAUGGUUCCAAUCUUUACAGUAGAAAAGUCAGCGUUUAAAAAUCUGCUAGGUACAGGUGACCACAAAUCAGCUGCCAAGCCGCAAGUAUUUCACGGAGAAGCCCUGCCGCGAAUAUACACUGCUACCCGCGAAAGAGUCGCAGAGAAGCUGGCUAGUGUUUCUUAUUUUUCCACCACAGCCGAUCUAUGGUCGAGCAGAACGUCAGAGCCAUACCUAAAUUUGACAGUCCACUACAUAAAUGAAGACUGGAAAUUGUAGAACGUCUACCUCCAGACGUCUAACUUCCCCGAUGAUCAUACGGGUGAAGUAAUAGUCCAGGAUCUCAAAGACUCUGGCAUCGUGGAAGAUGAGCGAAGACUGACAGCAGGAGCAACAUGAUAAAAGCAUUGCGCUUGAACUACUGAACCCGCCUGCUGUGCUUUAGGCACAGGUUUCGCCAUCGGGGACAGUGGCCACGCAACUGACAGGCACCACGAUGAGGCGGAAGGAAAAGUUAUCCUUACUGUCUAAACAGUGACAGGACCAGCAUUCCAGUCUUUAGUAACUGAUUCGUUAACUGGCAGUCUCUGUAAGGGACUGCUUCCUUGACGAUCAAUAAGGGGCUUGUCACUAUCCUUUGGACUGUUUCCUGUUAAGUGUCCGAUGACAGUCACUUUGGCACUCAGGUCAUUCUAAUUGAGGCAUUUAUUUCUUCACAAUCUACUGAUGGCAGCCUUUAAAGUCUGUGGUUGAUUACAAAUGAUAUGUAACUGCCCUAUAUAUCAAUGUUUCUAUACAGGGUAGCCAUGGUGUCACUCUAGAUUCUACCACUGUAGAACAUUGGUACACUGUAAUACCAGGUAAUCGAAUCACUGUACACACUAUACUGCAAGGUGCAUGGUUUAACAUUCCACGUUUCCUCUACUGUAGAUUCUACACAAUUGGUUGUUAUUACUAUACUGUAACACCAUACCAUCAAAUCACUAAUGUUACACGCUGUUCUAUACUAACACUGCACUUUUCUGAAAACAUGUACUAAAACUGGUUUCCCUUCUGAAAGAGGGUUUCGCAAGACUGUACAACAACCACUCUUAUAACCAAAAGCCAGCCUGUUGCUCCUACCACAGAUUUAGUUUUUGGCCUCCCUCUUUCUCCUUGUCUUGCUCGAUCUGCUAGUGUAAAAUGCAGAUUUAUAUCUUGCUCAGAGCGCACGUCCAGGAAAUGCAAUGGAAGGAAACUGUAAACAUGUUGAUCAUCAGGUUUCAACAGCUACUAAUGCGUCUGCCAGUAUUCUCCCUGGGCUUUGAUUCUGCUACAAUAUCUCUGGGAAGAAUGUGAGUCCCCACAUUGUUUCUAUUCUAUUUCUUUGAGUCCCAAAUGGCACCCAAUUCCCUAUAUAGUGCACUACUUUUGACCAGAGGGAAUAGGGUGCCAUUUGGAAUGCAUUCAACCUUUGACUUGACUUUGUGUUUUAUAAUUUUUGGCACUGAAUGUAACAUAUAACCAUUACUAGAAGUCAGCCUGUUGCUCCUACCACAGGGGAUUUUGUUUGUGGCCUUCCUCUUUCUCCUUUCUUCUUGUCUUGCGCCAUCUGCUGGUGUAAAAUUCAGAUCUAUAUUUAUAUCUUGCCCAGGGCUCGCCUCCAUGAAGGCAGUGCAAUGGAACGCAACUGUAAACCUGAAUAACAAGAGUCAAUUAGUAAUCUGAGAGAAUUAGUUAUCAGUUUCAAGUUGAACAUGUAAAUGUUUACCUGGUGGUUGAUUAUGAUACUUAUGUAAAUGCCAUAAUUGUUUUAUGUUAUGAAAGAGGCUGCUAUUGUCUUAAUAUUGUAGUUAUAUAAUGACUGUUUCAGUUCCCAUGAUGUUUUACUGCUACCAUGUUGCUGAUGGCAUUACAUAUAGACUGAGUAAUCUGUUGUAUUGUGGCAGCUUGAGGUGAAUGGUGUCCACGACAAGACUCCACCUCCCAUAAUUCCUGCCAAAUCUUGUAUCAGUUCCUUCUUACUUCAGUACAUGAUUGGAAGUUGGCACUAUAGAUACAGCUAGAAUGAUUAAUCGAUUUAUAUGCUAGCCUGCUUGGCACUGGUCAGGGCUCUUCCAAAGAAGCUUGGACUUUUGGCUUAGCUCUAUGGUGGUUUGAGAUGUUCAUGUGUAAAGUUUUGUUUAUUUCGCAGUUCAACAAAAUGGGAUUUCUUCUCUGUAUGAAGUGUAUAUCAAGCGAUUUGUUGAUGUGCCUGCUUGAGGCCUACUCCACAUACUUUUUUGUUGUCCCCUGUUUUUUUGUAUAUUUCACACUUUGAAAUUCCUUUUCAAAUCCCACACCUUGACACUGUUCAGGUUUUGUAUAUAGGAUGACGAUUUUAAUUGUAGUUUUUAAUUACUACAAUCUUAAAAAAAAAAAAAAUGAAAAUCAUAAUUGAUGGUGAGGCUAAUCUGAAAUGUUCUAAGGUCUAAACUGUUUUAAGGAACCAAAAGCAGUAAACCAUUGUGAGAAAAAUGUAUAUAAUUACUGCACAAAGAUUUUUUUAUUUUUUUUAUCCAUCAUUAUGCAUUAUAUAAGUAGUUACAGUACCUAAAGACUAUUUUUAUCCCAGCGACAGUACAUGGUUGCAUUCAUUAGUGCACACCGUAGCAAAACAAUUCAACGGAAAACAAAUGUUUCUUAUUGGACAAGUUCAGGUGGUCCCUACACAUUUUGGUCAAUCUGCUAUCAUUUCGUUCCAUGUGAAUACAACCCUGGUUUGAUUGAAUCCAAAGAUGUGACACUGAACAGAAGACAACUGUUCAGUUGUCUUCAAACCACGGGCCGGUGGUUUUAUUUUGCCCCCCAAAAAUAUACAGUUUUGACUCCCCCUCCAAAAAAUAUACACUACCGUUCAAAAGUUUGGGUCACUUAGAAAUGUC
Molecule: long non-coding RNA, 3277 nt
Organism: Salvelinus namaycush (lake trout)
Lineage: Eukaryota; Metazoa; Chordata; Actinopteri; Salmoniformes; Salmonidae
Exons: 3
Source: RefSeq, a predicted model, not a curated record